AUGAGAUCCACAAGAUUACAUGAACAAUUCAAGGAAAAUAGCACUAGGUGGCUGGAGGUGAGGGACGAGGUGGAUGAAGAGGAGGCCCAAACAGCAAUCACAUCCGUCCAUCCAGUAGGCCCGUGCCCACGGGUCGGUGAAAGAGGCAGGCCGGCGGGCGCUGGCUGGGCCGGCAGGCGCCUUACAGCCGCGGCAUCCCACACAGACGAGCAGAGGAGGCUCGCGUGGGUGACGUGGAGCUGGUCCACGCUGGAUGUGCACGAAACGCACGCGGUCGUGGUCAACGCUCGAGGACGAGAGCGUUCGCCGUCUCCUCGACGAACCGGAGGCGGACGAGGCAGGGGUUGCGGGGAGACUGGCCGGAACUUGGCGACGGCAAGGCAAGCGAAGGCGGCGGCGCCAGGUAGGAUCUGGGCGGAGGCGAGGUCUCUGGUCAGCGGCUCUGGUGGCCGGAGGAAGCGGGUGCGCUCGGGCGCUCAUGCGGAGGAGGGAGAGGUGGUCGGGGACGCGGGGUGCACGGCGGGAACCGGCCGGGGAAGAGAUGAUGCUCGACGUGGAACCGCGGCGGCGCAGCGGGUCCAGGCGGAAGGCGCGGAGCUGAACGGCGGGGGUCCUACAGGUCCUUUCUCCGACUUGCAGAAGAGCGAGCGGCGCCAUGUCCCUCUUCGGCAACGACGGCGGUGGCACUCGGGGCUCCGGCGUACGAGAGGCUCAGGCAGAGGAGGAGCGGAUCCGAGCGUGGGGAGCUCGUUCCCGGCGGCAGAGAAGGAGAUCCAGCCGGUGAGCUCGAACGGUGGCGGUGAGGUUCCUGUGAUCCACGGGAGAGAGAACCAUGAGAGGAGGAGAAGAAACGAGAUGGGAAAAAAAGGCAGGAGAGGGAAGGGCAUGGGACGGCGGAGCACUGGCCUGGCCGAUGAGGGUCGGCAAGGGCAAUGUCGUGCUCGAGGACGAGCUCGGGCGUGGAGCGGAACCAUGGAAGAACGGGGCUUGCGGGAGCUGCAGGGAGCACCUCCUGGACGUUGGAUCUCUAUCCAAGGGUCCAGAUGGAUGGAUCUGGAGGUUCGGUGGUGGCUGGACGGGAACCGGAUCCUCUAA
RNAcentral lists this ribosomal RNA (1095 nucleotides) under Triticum aestivum (bread wheat). RNAcentral describes it as "partial small subunit ribosomal RNA". The record is from RNAcentral. Lineage: Eukaryota; Viridiplantae; Streptophyta; Magnoliopsida; Poales; Poaceae.